CUUCAGAUGACGCACCUUCUACAGAGGGGAGGUUUUACUACACCGACUACGACAACUGCGCUAUCCUCGACAUCCCCUACGACGGACGCCAAUGCAUCCUGUGGACUAAAGAAACAGCCAAAGAUUCGGUGCCCCAAAAAUGCUUGGAUGAGUUCAUGAAGAAUUGUGGCGUAGGCGCCCCACUUUACAUCGAUGACCUUUGCAGUGGUGAUGAAGUCGCCGAAUGGUGAUGAAGAAAAAAAAACGAGCUUACUGCCACCAGGCUGAGAAGUAGAAAUCUUUGAUUUCACCUUCAAAACUUUCUUUGCAGGCGUAAAUGCAAAUGUGUAAUAAAUGUUGAAAAACACUAAAA
Molecule: long non-coding RNA, 352 nt
Organism: Dermacentor silvarum
Lineage: Eukaryota; Metazoa; Arthropoda; Arachnida; Ixodida; Ixodidae
Exons: 3
Source: RefSeq, a predicted model, not a curated record